GGCCGCGAAUUCGCCCUUAGGGUUUGAUCAUGGCUCAGAUUGAACGCUGGCGGCAGGCCUAACACAUGCAAGUCGAGCGGAUGAAGGGAGCUUGCUCCUGGAUUCAGCGGCGGACGGGUGAGUAAUGCCUAGGAAUCUGCCUGGUAGUGGGGGAUAACGUCCGGAAACGGGCGCUAAUACCGCAUACGUCCUGAGGGAGAAAGUGGGGGAUCUUCGGACCUCACGCUAUCAGAUGAGCCUAGGUCGGAUUAGCUAGUUGGUGGGGUAAAGGCCUACCAAGGCGACGAUCCGUAACUGGUCUGAGAGGAUGAUCAGUCACACUGGAACUGAGACACGGUCCAGACUCCUACGGGAGGCAGCAGUGGGGAAUAUUGGACAAUGGGCGAAAGCCUGAUCCAGCCAUGCCGCGUGUGUGAAGAA
This 420-nucleotide ribosomal RNA is filed under the name uncultured bacterium. RNAcentral's name for it is "partial 16S ribosomal RNA". It matches the Rfam family "Bacterial small subunit ribosomal RNA", at positions 1 to 412 of the family's 1533-position model. The record is from RNAcentral.